Molecule: ribosomal RNA, 203 nt
Filed under: uncultured bacterium
Lineage: Bacteria
Description: partial 16S ribosomal RNA
Rfam family: Bacterial small subunit ribosomal RNA
Source: RNAcentral
UUGCAGGCUGCAACUCGCCUGCAUGAAGCUGGAAUUGCUAGUAAUCGCGGAUCAGCAAGCCGCGGUGAAUACGUUCCCGGGCCUUGUACACACCGCCCGUCACACCAUGAGAGUCGGGAACACCCGAAGUCCGUAGUCUAACCGCAAGGGGGGCGCGGCCGAAGGUGGGUCCGGUAAUUGGGGUGAAGUCGUAACAAGGUACC